Molecule: non-coding RNA, 1499 nt
Organism: Pelodiscus sinensis (Chinese soft-shelled turtle)
Lineage: Eukaryota; Metazoa; Chordata; Testudines; Trionychidae
Source: RefSeq, a predicted model, not a curated record
AGGCACUCAAAUUGAUUUAGUAAGUCUGUUUCUUAACUUUAUUAUGGUAAAUCAGAAGAACUUGUCUUUAGACAGGGCCUUUGCUUUCACUCAAUGAAUCUCAUAAUUGUACAGAAAAACUUAAUUUUGAAUGUAAUAAGUCUGCCUGAGUAUGUAAAUAGCCUAAAACAAUAGCUCUUACAGGGGAGGUCUGUGCUAUUUAUGAGGUUACCAAUAACAAUUUAGAUGCCAGGUCUGUAUCUCACUGCUGAUCAAAGCAUGUUAGAAGGAGCUGGAAGAUCACAGAUCUGCACGAUCUACCACAAAUGAAAGCUGAUUUUGGUGCUAUAAGCAGAUAGCAUCAAGGAGAUUCUACCAUUUUGCCCCCAGCCCUCAAUCUGACCUGUGGAGCUAAGAAACUAGAGAGGAAGAGCCUAGUACAGGGGUAUGUGGGAACCCCAACAAAGGGAAGGCUCUCCUGGAGAGACCAGUGGGACACCUAAGCCUACACCUGCCUGGCCCCACCAUGCUCACUCAAAAAAAGGGGAGCCUGGACUGCUCUGGUGGUGAAUGUAGGGCUAAGCAGUUUUUUCCCUAGUUCCAAUGACUGCUGCUCCUCCCUUUGUUCAAUGCUAGUACAGCUUCAGGCAGACCCCACUGCACUGCUUCCUCUUGGAUCACGUUUUUAAUUGUGACUUUUAAACCUGAGACCUGUGAUUGUGACAUCACUGAGGACUAUGACCCCAAGACCUCCAUGUGCUCAUGCCUUCAUCUGCCCUGCUCAGAAGUGUUUCUGAACCCUCAUGAGAGGGAGCCAAGUGGGCACCCUCAUAAUCCACUGAGAAUGAUACCUCAUUGUGGCCUCUGAAGUACCUUUUCCCUCAGUUUGAGCCUAUUGGCUGUAGCUGACUUCUCUGAGAAAAGACAGCAUUCUAGUCGUCCCCCCUCCCCUAAAGGGCUGCUACUGCAAUCACUCUCCAUUUCGCCAAUGAGUGCCCCAGAAGACUUCAUUUGACACCUCAGUCUGUUCUGCUCGACAAAGUCAAAGUAACUUCAGUGGCUGACUGAUAUAAUCUCGACAACAGUGAAAACUUGUGUUAUCUGUUGAAUACCAGUGCUCUCAAACUGCAAGAAAAAGAUGACAUGGCCCCAUCCCACUGAGACUGCAAACUAGGAGAUAUUGAAGUUAACAGAACUGGAUCUCAUGCCUGCAAACACCACACACCAUUUCAUCCAAAGAUGCCAAGUUACUAAGGUUGACAAGCAAAGAUGAAGAGUCUAAAGUUAGCAGCAAAAUGGCCUUUGGAAGCCAUACAGGAAUGAGUCAGAGCCUUAUUGCUGGAAGGAGCUCUCUGAAUCAGAAAAGGAGAACGGCUGAGCUCCCAUAAGGCAGAAAAACAAUAUAGCAUGCAGUAACUGCAUCUGAAACAAAACUUAGCCCUACAGGUGACCCAAACACGGAUUUGGGAGGGAAAAAAGAUAACAUUUAAAAAGAGUUAACACCUCAGAUCAGGAAUGUG